CGGGCCAAAGGCAUGCCUCAGUAGCGGCGAGUGAAGCGGCAAGAGCUCAGAUUUGAAAUCGUGCUUUGCGGCACGAGUUGUAGAUUGCAGGUUGGAGUCUGUGUGGAAGGCGGUGUCCAAGUCCCUUGGAACAGGGCGCCCAGGAGGGUGAGAGCCCCGUGGGAUGCCGGCGGAAGCAGUGAGGCCCUUCUGACGAGUCGAGUUGUUUGGGAAU
This 214-nucleotide ribosomal RNA is filed under the name Pichia kudriavzevii. RNAcentral's name for it is "partial 26S ribosomal RNA". It matches the Rfam family "Eukaryotic large subunit ribosomal RNA", at positions 56 to 281 of the family's 3401-position model. The record is from RNAcentral. Lineage: Eukaryota; Fungi; Ascomycota; Pichiomycetes; Pichiales; Pichiaceae.